RNAcentral lists this long non-coding RNA (3196 nucleotides) under Sus scrofa (pig). RNAcentral's name for it is "lncRNA (ENSSSCG00005038616.1)". The record is from RNAcentral. Lineage: Eukaryota; Metazoa; Chordata; Mammalia; Artiodactyla; Suidae.
AUGGAGACAGCCUCGGUUCAUAAAUCAGGUGGGGCCAGGGGCUGGGGGCCCAUACGCCAUGGAGCCCGACUCCCUCCUGGACCAAGACGACUCCUUCGGGUCUGGACUAUAAGCGAUUUGCCAUCCUGUACUUUGCCUCGAUGGGAGUCCCAACAAGUGGACAUAUGUGGGUUUUGCAUAUGUGCGGAGGAUGCAUUUGGUAAAGCGUCUCAGACGCGUCUCCGGGGAAGGUGCCACAGGCUCUGUCGCCCCCACAGAUGGAAGCUGGUGAGGAAAAGAUGGAUCCAGAUUGGGCUCCCUGGGCUACGUGUGAAAACAGAUGGGAGGGGGCCUGAGUGGAUGUGGGGUGGUAAGGAGAAGGGUCUGUGCUUCUGAAAUGCGGUGCAGCCCCUUACCCAAGGAGAGGAGGAAGGACCAUGAGAAGCCCUGACUCCGAGCACACUUCUGACUCUUCUGUCUUCUGGCCAGCCUCCAGGUGCAUCCUCUGGCAUUUUUAAAUCAGCUUCCCACCUUCAUAGUAACCCAGUUGGGUUCCUUCCACCCUCCCUUGCAAACAUCUUCCUCUUGGCCAAUAUUCACAUAAUUGCUACCUGUUCCAAAAAUGGGGCCAUGCAUUUUGCCUCUAUUUAUCUCACCAAAUCCUUGCAAGAACCUCUUGCAAUAAGCCCCAGUCACACCUUGGUGUUAGAGACACAGAAACUGAGCUCAGAGGGAUGUCAUAGCAUGCCUUAGGUCACAUAGCUGGCAAGUAGCCUAGCCUAGUGUUUUUGUUUGUUUUGUUUUGUUUGUUUGUUUUGCUGGGCCACAUCAUAGCAUGCCUUAGGUCACAUAGCUGGCAAGUAGCCUAGCCUAGUGUUUUUGUUUGUUUUGUUUUGUUUGUUUGUUUUGCUUUUUAGGGCCACAUCUGUGGCAUAUGGAAGUUCCCAGGCUAGGGGUCAAAUAAUCUGCCAGCCUGUGCCACAGCCGCAGCAACUCAGGAUCCAAGCGGCAUCUGCAACCUACACCACAGCUCAUGGCAAUGCCAGAUCCUUAACCCACUGAGCAAGGCCAGGGGUCGAACCUGCAUCCUGUCAAAUUGUCCCUUAGGGUGGUGGUACCCAAUUUCCUCUCCCCAGCAGUGUAUGAGAGUUGGGUUUGUUGAAUCCUAGUUGGGUUUGUUAACUGUUGAGCCAUGAAGGGAACUCCCCAGCCUAGAUUUGAACCCAAGUCUCUCUGACCCCCUGGUCACAUUAUCUUCUAAGAACACUCAGUGAAGACCAAGCAGGCAAUCCGUGUAUUGGGACUGCACCUCUUUUGUGGGUUCAGCAUGACCCCUUUUUUUCUGAGUAUUUGGGUCCAAUCAUCCCCUUUAUUCAUUCAACAAACCUUCCCCAAGCCAGGCCCUAUGCAGAUGGGGCUGCCAUGGUGGCUCAGACAAGGUUAGUGACCCAGAGGAGCUCACAGUCAGCUCAGGGAAGAGAUAGACCCAUUGUCAGGUGCCACAAUCCACGAUGUGAUAAACAAGGACAGUGGGGUGGGCCGGUGCCAUGGGAACCCUCUGCUUGAGAGUCAUGAAGACCUAGCAGGACCUUCUCAUGGGCUGAAAUAUCAGAGCUGGAUUUGGACCCACAGAGAUGGCGAGGAAGGGACAGGAAGAGUGAACGGUUUCUGAAGACAUGUCAGAGGUGGGGGGUUUGGAAGACCUGGCUGCAUGGUGGGGCUUGGGUGGCAGAGUCUCAGCUGGCUGGCACGAGGAUGUGAAGGGCCCCGUGGAAACUGGGGAGCAGGCUAUUUGUGUUCUUAAGAUUUACUGAGCACCUCACCAUGAGUCAGGCUUCAUGUCGAGACCUUCACAGACAUGACAACUGCAUCCUUUAAAUAAGGAAGCUGAAGUUUAGAGUUGGACUGGAUUUUUAUGUGGACUCUAUCUUUUACACCACCGUGCUUGCUCUGCACCUUUAAAAAUGUUCUGAAAAGUCAAAGACACACCCAGGUACUUCUCCCCCAAGUCAAGAAAUAAAACCUUACAGAGUUCCCAGGGUGGCACAGUAGUAACCAACACGAUCAGUAUCCAUGAGGACCGGGCUUCGAUCCCUGGGCUCGUUCAGUGGGUUAAGGAUCUGGUGUUGCUGCGAGCUGUGGUGUAGGUUGCAGACGAGACCUUCAGCGAAAGAAAGAAGGAAAGAAGGAAAGGAAAGAAGGAAGGAAGGAAGGAAGAAAAGAAGGAAGGAAGGAGAAAGAAAGAAAGAAAAGAAAGAAAGAAAGAAAGAAAGAAAGAAAGAGAAAGAAAGAAAGAAAAGAGAAAGAAAGACCUUACUAAUCUAGGUGAAGCCCUUUCCCACCUUCUUUCACAUGUCCCUCUCCCCCUCAAGAGGUAAACACUUCCCGAAUGGUGUAUUUAUCAUUCCUUGAAAUUUCUUUAUACUUUCGCUACAUAUAUGCAUUCCUAGCAAUCAUCUGGAAUUAUUUUGUCUUGCAUGUUUUAGAAGUCUACAUGAAUGAUGACAUACAACUUGAUCUUCUGCAACUUGCUCCCUAUCCCCCGCCCUUAAGAUUCAUAAAGAAUCUCUAUUUCCACUGCUGUACUAGAAAAUCUCUAGUGUGGAUUUUCACUGUCCUAUCCACAAUUUGCUUAUGCAUUUUGUCCGCUAAGGAACAUCGAGGCCCCUUUACUUCUUUGCUAGGAACACGGUUGCAAGAUGGCCUCUAGAUCUACCCCAGAGGCCGAGUCUCUGGCUCACUGGGAUGUGUGCAUCCUUUCAGGAUGCUGUCAGAUUGUCCUCCAGGGUGGUGGUACCCAAUUUCCUCUCCCCCAGCAGUGUAUGAGAGUCCUCUGGGCUCCACAUUUUCACCAAUACUCUCUGCGUGCCACCCCAUCAUUUUUUGCCAAUCCCACAGAUGUAAAGCGGCACCUUCCCACAGUUUUAUUUUGCAUUUUCUUGAUUAAGAGUGAGACUGAGGAGUUCCCAUCGUGGCGCGGUGGUUAACGAUUCCAACUAGGAACCAUGAAGUUGCGGGUUCGAUCCCUGGCCUUGCUCAGUGGGUUAACGAUCCGGCAUUGCCAUGAGCUGUGGUGUAGGUUGCAGAUGCGGCUCAGAUCCCACGUUGCUGCGGCUCUGGCAUAGGCCAGCGGCUACAGCUCCGAUUAGACCCCUAGCCUGGGAACCUCCAUAUGCCACAGGAGCGGCCCAAGAAAUAGCAAAAAGACAAAAAGACA